Molecule: non-coding RNA, 4833 nt
Organism: Elaeis guineensis (African oil palm)
Lineage: Eukaryota; Viridiplantae; Streptophyta; Magnoliopsida; Arecales; Arecaceae
Source: RefSeq, a predicted model, not a curated record
AUCCCAUCCGAUCCAUUUGCAUCUCUACUCAUGCCGUCUCAUUGCCUCCCCACGAAACUUCUCACUUCCACUCCCUCCUCGUCCUCUUCCUCCUCCUCCUGCUCCACCUUCGCCUCCGCCGCCCCGAUUACGUCCCCAUGUACCCUCGGCCGGCCAUCUCCGACGCUCUGUCGUCUUCACCUCUGGCCUCUGAGAAGCCCGGGAUCCGUCUCACCCGGCGCCUCGCCUCUGCGUGCUUCUUCUCGCGGCGUCUCUUCUGGAGGAGGGAUGGGGGACCAAGCGGUAUCGUAUCUCUCCCAGAAAGAUGCGGCGGUGAUCGACGAGAUCCUCAUGGGUCCUCUUGGUGACUUCAGCGUCGAACAGUUGAUGGAAUUCGUGGGACUGAGCGUGGCUACCUCGAUAGCGGAGAUAACGGGGUCCUUAUCGGAUCGUAGGGCCUAGGAAAUAAUGGUGGUGAUGGUCUGGUAGCUGCUGGUCACCUAUAUCACUUUGGAUAUAAACUGUUUGUUUGUCGUGCAAAAGGCACACCCAAAACCUAUCUACACUGGCCUUGUAACCCAGGUACUGUGUGGUGUCCUUGGUGAGUCAAUGUCGCCACACGCUUUUGGCCAUGAUGAUUUAUUUUUUAAAAUUUUAUUUUGUAGCUGGAAUCACUAUCAAUCCCAUUCUUGUCUGUUAAAGAACUGCCAUAUAAUUUAUCAGAUGAUUUUAACCUUAUUAUGGAUCAAGGAUUACCGAGCCAUCCCGACGGCAAUCCAGGAUGGUUCGGCCAAGCAAAACAGCAUACCGAAGGAGGGAGAGGAAAAGAGAGGAAGAGAGAGAGAGAGGAGAGAAGGGAGAUAGGGGACGACGUCGUCAGAGGCCAGCGUUGGCCCGUUGAGGCCGUCGGAGGGCCACGGAGGCCUUUGCAGCUUAGCAUUGGCCGAUAGGAUAUUUAAUCGAGCAAGAAAGAGAGAGAGAAAGGGGGAGCAAUGGUAUCGGAGGGAGGCACAGUCGGCAGAGAGAUUGUAGAAGGGUGCCGGAUGGCCGUCGUGGCCACCAGAUGGUGGAAAAUGCACUGACGAAGCCAUGGCUGCAGGACAGGGGCGACCGUCUUUGUUCACUCAUUGGCUUUUUUUAAACAAAGAUGAAUAGUAAAGUCGGCAAUUGAUCUACCUUCUUCACUGAAGUGAAGUCGAUAGAUUCAUUACCGGCUUCACUGUUUGAGGAUUUUUUUAAAAAAUCUAAGAAACAGUGAAGCCAAUAAUGGUUGUGUCGGUAAAUUAUUGCCGGCUUCGCUGUAAUUGAAGUUUUUUAAAAAAACCCUCAUGAAAUAGGGACGAUUGCCCUUGUUUCAUUCCUGUGGCACCAGAGGCCGUAAUUGCGCCAUCCAACAGUUACGGCGGCCAGUCGGAGGCCCUCCAGCAGCUUCUCCUCCCUCCUUUUCUCUCCCUCUUCUACCCUCCCCUCUCUCUUGUCCUCCUCUUGGUUUUCUUCUUCUCCUCUGUGUUGGUUCGCACCAAUCCGGUCCGGUAUGGACCUGUACCGACCCAUACUGCCAGUCGGCCAGCAUGGGCUUCGGUACCAAGUCCGCUGACCUUGUUGUGGAUGCAAUAUUGUGUUUCUUAUUUCAUGGUAACCAAAGUUGUCAUUACUUUUUAUUAGAUUUUUGUCUCUCAAUAUGGUAUCAGCAGGUUAUUUUAUUACUUUGAUUGUAUGUACGUGUAGGAAUUGUGAAAGUUGGAGAAUACUUAAUUUUUCUUUUUUUCCUAUGUCAUCCUGGCAUUAUCGUAUGUUCAUAUCUCUUUAUGUAGUUGACAGGAUAAGACUUGCUUGCAGUUACUUCACACAUGUAUUUAUGGCUAAUAGUUUUGACCCUUACAAAAUUAGGUCAACUGAGGUCACCUUUAGAUGAUCUUAUCCAAAGGCUUGCUUCACUGAGCAUUAUGGACAAUGGUUUUGAAAGAAACUUGCCAAUUGUUUCUGUUGGCAUUCCUUCUGGAUGGCAUGUCGAAGGGGGAGAUAUCAACAGAGGAGUUAAACCUGACAUGCUGGUUAACAUCCGACAUGAAACCUUAAUUAUGGAUAAAAGUAUAUUGUUGGUCUUCAUUUUAGCUUGAGCGAACUCUCAUUAAAGUUACUAUGGCUAUGUAUCAUUAACUUCUCCAAAGCUCUGUCCAAAAAACAAAAAUAUUGGGCCCCCCACUUUCUAGGGGGUAGAUUUGUUCCAUCAUCCAUUAUAAAUAAGUAUGGACUUAGCCUUCCUUCAUAUCCCGGCACUUUGAUGUGUGUGAAAAUUGGAAAACUUCCAUCAUUUGACAUCUCAUCACUGAGGGAAAACUGCAUUUCUCCUGAGCUUUUUGAAGAUCAAGUGGUGGCUGACCAUGUAGAUCAGAUAUGUGUAUUGUUUGACAUUUAAGCUUCAUUCUUCACCUGAUAUAUUAAAUAUUUGUACCUAUUAAGUAUUAAAUAAUUUGUUAAACUCGAGCAAAUUUCAACCAUCAUCGCUUCAUUUUUUUUCCCUUCUAUUUUAAUAUGCAAACUUUGUUGCUGCCACAAUCCUCUUGUAGUUCCAUAAGUGGUUUGAUGAAGCAGUUGCUGCUGGCUUGCGAGAGGCAAAUGCUAUGGCCCUAUCGACUUCUGGCAGGGAAGAAAAACCAUAUGUUGUUUGCUUGGCUUCCUCACUUGUUGUCUGUCACUUUUCAAUGUCUCAUCAACUGCAAAUUUGCAUGUGCUUGAAAUUCUGUUGUGAUUAUGCUGAACUUGGUCCUCUUGUUUGUGCAUUCAUCAUGAAUGGUCCUGCUAAAAGGAGCUGGUAAGCGAGGAUUUGUUUGGCUAGUCUUGUUCUACAAACUGAUCAUAUUAAAUUUCUGAUUCAUUCAUAUUCAUAUUUCUGUUAUAAAUUAUAUGUGGAUGCUAAAGGCACUUAUAGAUUUGAAAUUCAUUUAUCUUUCUGUAUCACUUCAGUUUUGUUUCUUUAGGUAUACCAAUUAUGAAAGCUGAAAGGAUCAAGAAUUAUCUGAAAAUCCUUAUGCCUCACUUCUUUUCUACUGGAAUUCUCUUAACUGCCCGGUGAUGCAGAGUCUAUUUUGUACUAUUUUUACUAUGAUUUGUGUUAUUUUGUCAGAUAUUGACCGAGAUAGUUUAAACAAUAUGAAAUGGACAGGUACAAGAACUCUUUCUAUAGAUGCUCUCUUCUUGUAUAUGUUUCUACUUAGGACACUGUAAGAGAGAAUAAGUAGUUAACUUGUUAGUAAAAGUGAUUUCAUAUUAGCACGUCUGCCAACGUUAUUGUUGAUCCCAGGCUCUAGGUUGAGUUGAUCCAUUUAACUACAUGUCUAUGUUAGCACAAAAAUUUGGAUUGGUUGUCAGCCCUGAUUGACUCGUGCGCACAUCAGUAUGCUCAUAGAUUCUGAGGAGCUUGCUGGGAACCGAGAAAAGAGAAGAUUUUUAUAGGCAUAUUAAAACUCAACCUAGGAGUAGUACUGACAGUGUUGGAAAUAGAUUCAGAUAAGGGAGGCCAAAGAUUUUCUCAAUAAGAAGAGAGGCUUCAAUUUGCUUUGGAGGCUUAUAAAAGAUGAGGAAAACAGGUAAACAUCAAUAUUAGUGGUGAGACAAGAUAGGAAAAGGCUUGCAGUGUCACAAGAUGCACUUGAUGAUAGGAACUUGGUGAAGAAUAUUUCAUAAUGAUAGCAUCAAAUGGAUAGUAUAAGUAAUGCUUUCCUUUGAAAGCUUGGAUUUUUUUUUUUUUUUUUGAUUAUUGUUUCUCAAAACCCUGCCUGGUAUGUAUAAAUUUUUCUAGUUUUCUUUCAUACAAACAGAGAUAGAUUUCUUGAUGAAAGAAGGAACGCAUUCUUGAUGCUUAGAACUAGUUAUGUCAUCUUUGGUUUGUGUUAUAACUAACCUUUUAUCAGUAAAAAUCUAUAACCUUAUAUAGAUGUCAAAAUCAGUAUGUUAUUCAUCACCAUGUGUUGGUUCAACUGGAGAACAUGCCCAGGGCAUGUUAUUGACUCACUGUCCUUAAUAAAAUAUGCUGAACUAUUCUGAUGGAAAAAGAGAAGGAAAUCCAACAUCCUUCUUUACCAUCUGGUUGGUUUACAAUGUGUGAGAUUAUCAGCAUCAAAAUUUGCAGGCUAGAGUAGAAAGUGCUGUUCAAAAGGUUUCUGAUGAGGAAUCUGAAAGGUACUUCCGCAGUUGUCCUCAGCUUGGAGCAUACUUGGCAAUCAGAGUGCUGUCAUAGCUGGAAGGCAUGUGCUUUACCAAGCAUUCAAGGAUUUGGAAGAAAGAUACUCUAAUGGAUCGAGUAGGUAAAACGACCUGAUUUUCUGUACUAUGAUCAAACAGGAGAUUAAUUCCAAAACCAGAGGAUUGUGGUGGUUAUAGACUAAAAACAACAUUCGAAUGUUGGCAAGGACAAACUUCUUUUCUGCAUGAUCAGCAGGUUGCAGUACUCACUGAGAGAAGUAGAUGGGAAACAAGUAUGGCAUAUCGGAAGGCUGUACCUAUGACUGGUACCCUCAUUUUCUACCCUAUAACAAUAAAUAAGCACCACAAUGAGUUCUUUUUAUUGCAACUUCUUCACCCAUAGGAUUCCACCAAAACUCAAAACUUUUCAUAGCAUGGAACCGUGCCUUGUUUGCUUGCAUGGACUUGUUGGAUCUUUGUUUGUGAGAUACAGUCUCCAUGAAAGAUGUGGAACAAAAGCAUCCAAUGGCUAUUGAGUGCUAGCCUGCCAUCUGACUUGCUGUUGUGAUCUUAAGAUCUGAAAGCCUACUGGUCCUGGAUGACAUCUGUGUGUGGCUGCCAUUGGCACCCCACCAGCUUUCCAUGAUCCCAAAAUUUAUUUUAUUUUUU